RNAcentral lists this ribosomal RNA (403 nucleotides) under bacterium. RNAcentral's name for it is "partial 16S ribosomal RNA". It matches the Rfam family "Bacterial small subunit ribosomal RNA", at positions 355 to 776 of the family's 1533-position model. The record is from RNAcentral.
UGGGGAAUAUUGCACAAUGGGGGAAACCCUGAUGCAGCGACGCCGCGUGAACGAAGAAGGUAUUCGUAUCGUAAAGUUCUGUCCUAUGGGAAGAUAAUGACAGUACCAUAGAAGAAAGCUCCGGCUAAAUACGUGCCAGCAGCCGCGGUAAUACGUAUGGAGCGAGCGUUGUCCGGAAUUAUUGGGCGUAAAGGGUACGCAGGCGGUUUAAUAAGUCGAAUGUUAAAGAUCGGGGCUCAACCCCGCAAAGCAUUGGAAACUGAUAAACUUGAGUAGUGGAGAGGAAAGUGGAAUUCCUAGUGUAGUGGUGAAAUACGUAGAUAUUAGGAGGAAUACCAGUAGCGAAGGCGACGUUCUGGACACAAACUGACGCUGAGGUACGAAAGCGUGGGGAGCAAACAGG